UGAAAUGCAAAAUUUAGAAAAGUCUGUACUCCAUUUCGAUAACCGUCGCUUACCCUUGACAAAUUCAUCCAAGACCGGUCCAUUUCUUAUUUCUUGAUGUCUGAUUUUCACCAGAAAUUACAAGGGUAAGUUGUUCAGUGGUAACUACAAAUGAGUUUUUUGAAAUAUAUAUCAUAUGAUAUAUAUUUAUGUAUUAAGUCAAUUAUGUAAGUUAUGUACGU
Molecule: long non-coding RNA, 221 nt
Filed under: Gossypium barbadense (sea-island cotton)
Lineage: Eukaryota; Viridiplantae; Streptophyta; Magnoliopsida; Malvales; Malvaceae
Description: long non-coding RNA (GBAR_LNC016423)
Source: RNAcentral